CCUACGGGGGGCACCAGUGGGGAAUAUUGGACAAUGGGCGCAAGCCUGAUCCAGCCAUGCCGCGUGAGUGAUGAAGGCCUUAGGGUUGUAAAGCUCUUUUGUCCGGGACGAUAAUGACGGUACCGGAAGAAUAAGCCCCGGCUAACUUCGUGCCAGCAGCCGCGGUAAUACGAAGGGGGCUAGCGUUGCUCGGAAUCACUGGGCGUAAAGGGCGCGUAGGCGGCCUUGUAAGUUGGGGGUGAAAGCCCGUGGCUCAACCACGGAAUUGCCUUCGAUACUGCUUGGCUUGAGUGUGGUAGAGGUUGGUGGAACUGCGAGUGUAGAGGUGAAAUUCGUAGAUAUUCGCAAGAACACCGGUGGCGAAGGCGGCCAACUGGACCAUCACUGACGCUGAGGCGCGAAAGCGUGGGGAGCAAACAGGAUUAGAUACCCCCGUAGUC
RNAcentral lists this ribosomal RNA (440 nucleotides) under uncultured bacterium. RNAcentral describes it as "bacterial SSU rRNA". It matches the Rfam family "Bacterial small subunit ribosomal RNA", at positions 338 to 795 of the family's 1533-position model. The record is from RNAcentral.